This 292-nucleotide ribosomal RNA is filed under the name uncultured bacterium. Its description in RNAcentral is "partial 16S ribosomal RNA". It matches the Rfam family "Bacterial small subunit ribosomal RNA", at positions 44 to 334 of the family's 1533-position model. The record is from RNAcentral.
GUGCUUAACACAUGCAAGUCGCGUGCGCGUCCGUAGCAAUACGGAUGGCGCACGGCGCACGGGUGCGUAACACGUGGGCAAUCUGCCCUCCGAUGGGGAAUAACCCCGCGAAAGCGGGGCUAAUUCCGCAUAACAUUCCUUGGACUCCGGUUCGGGGACUCAAAGCAGCAAUGCGUCGGAGGAGGAGCCCGCGCCCGAUUAGCUAGUUGGUGAGGUAACGGCUCACCAAGGCAAUGAUCGGUAGCUGGUCUGAGAGGAUGGCCAGCCACACUGGAACUGAGACACGGUCCAG